GGAAGAAUCGAUGACGGUACCUGAUGAAUCAGCAUCGGCUAACUCCGUGCCAGCAGCCGCGGUAAUACGGAGGAUGCAAGCGUUAUCCGGAAUUAUUGGGCGUAAAGCGUCCGUAGGUGGUUUAUCAAGUCUGCUGUCAAAGCGUGCGGCUUAACCGCAUAAGGGCAGUGGAAACUGAUGAACUAGAGUGCGAUAGGGGUAACAGGAAUUCCCAGUGUAGCGGUGAAAUGCGUAGAUAUUGGGAAGAACACCAGCGGCGAAAGCGUGUUACUGGGUCUGCACUGACACUGAGGGACGAAAGCUAGGGGAGCGAAAGGGAUUAGAUACCCCUGUAGUCCUAGCCGUAAACGAUGACAACUAGGCGUGGUUCGUAUCGACCCGAGCCGUGCCGUAGCCAACGCGUUAAGUUGUCCGCCUGGGGAGUACGCACGCAAGUGUGAAACUCAAAGGAAUUGACGGGGGCCCGCACAAGCGGUGGAGUAUGUGGUUUAAUUCGAUGCAACGCGAAGAACCUUACCAAGGCUUGACAUCCUCGGAACCCUGAUGAAAGUUAGGGGUGCCUUCGGGAGCCGAGAGACAGGUGGUGCAUGGCUGUCGUCAGCUCGUGUCGUGAGAUGUUGGGUUAAGUCCCGCAACGAGCGCAACCCACGUUUUUAGUUGCCAGCAUUCAGUUGGGCACUCUAGAGAGACUGCCGGUGACAAACCGGAGGAAGGUGUGGAUGACGUCAAGUCAGCAUGCCCCAUACGCCUUGGGCUACACACGUACUACAAUGCGUCGGACAAAGAGCAGCCAGCCAGCGAUGGUGAG
Molecule: ribosomal RNA, 808 nt
Filed under: Plectolyngbya sp. UIC 10600
Lineage: Bacteria; Bacillati; Cyanobacteriota; Cyanophyceae; Leptolyngbyales; Leptolyngbyaceae
Description: bacterial SSU rRNA
Rfam family: Bacterial small subunit ribosomal RNA
Source: RNAcentral